CCUACGGGAGGCAGCAGUGGGGAAUAUUGGACAAUGGGGGGAACCCUGAUCCAGCCAUGCCGCGUGUGUGAAGAAGGCCCUCGGGUUGUAAAGCACUUUCAGUGGGGAAGAACGCCUGGUGGUUAAUACCGAUCAGGAAAGACAUCACUCACAGAAGAAGCACCGGCUAACUCCGUGCCAGCAGCCGCGGUAAUACGGAGGGUGCGAGCGUUAAUCGGAAUUACUGGGCGUAAAGCGCGCGUAGGUGGCUUGAUAAGCCGGUUGUGAAAGCCCCGGGCUCAACCUGGGAACGGCAUCCGGAACUGUCAAGCUAGAGUGCAGGAGAGGAAGGUAGAAUUCCCGGUGUAGCGGUGAAAUGCGUAGAGAUCGGGAGGAAUACCAGUGGCGAAGGCGGCCUUCUGGACUGACACUGACACUGAGGUGCGAAAGCGUGGGUAGCAAACAGGAUUAGAUACCCUGGUAGUC
RNAcentral lists this ribosomal RNA (465 nucleotides) under Vreelandella stevensii. RNAcentral describes it as "partial 16S ribosomal RNA". It matches the Rfam family "Bacterial small subunit ribosomal RNA", at positions 338 to 795 of the family's 1533-position model. The record is from RNAcentral. Lineage: Bacteria; Pseudomonadati; Pseudomonadota; Gammaproteobacteria; Oceanospirillales; Halomonadaceae.